GCCAACCUUGAAAUACCACCCUUUAAUGUUUGAUGUUCUAACGUUGCCCCAUUAUCUGGGGUGCGGACAGUGUCUGGUGGGUAGUUUGACUGGGGCGGUCUCCUCCCAAAGAGUAACGGAGGAGCACGAAGGUUGGCUAAGCAUGGUCGGACAUCAUGCGGUUAGUGCAAAGGCAUAAGCCAGCUUGACUGCGAGAGUGACGGCUCGAGCAGGUACGAAAGUAGGUCUUAGUGAUCCGGUGGUUCUGAAUGGAAGGGCCAUCGCUCAACGGAUAAAAGGUACUCCGGGGAUAACAGGCUGAUACCGCCCAAGAGUUCAUAUCGACGGCGGUGUUUGGCACCUCGAUGUCGGCUCAUCACAUCCUGGGGCUGAAGUAGGUCCCAAGGGUACGGCUGUUCGCCGUUUAAAGUGGUACGCGAGCUGGGUUUAGAACGUCGUGAGACAGUUCGGUCCCUAUCUGCCGUGGGCGUUGGAAGAUUGAAAGGGGCUGCUCCUAGUACGAGAGGACCGGAGUGGACGCACCACUGGUGUUCGGGUUGUCAUGCCAAUGGCAUUGCCCGGUAGCUAAGUGCGGAAGAGAUAACCGCUGAAAGCAUCUAAGCGGGAAACUUGCC
Molecule: ribosomal RNA, 614 nt
Filed under: Providencia rettgeri
Lineage: Bacteria; Pseudomonadati; Pseudomonadota; Gammaproteobacteria; Enterobacterales; Morganellaceae
Description: partial 23S ribosomal RNA
Rfam family: Bacterial large subunit ribosomal RNA
Source: RNAcentral